This is a long non-coding RNA of Brassica oleracea var. oleracea, 740 nucleotides long. RefSeq lists it as uncharacterized. The record is from RefSeq and is a predicted model, not a curated record. The transcript is spliced from 4 exons. Lineage: Eukaryota; Viridiplantae; Streptophyta; Magnoliopsida; Brassicales; Brassicaceae.
CCAUAAGAAUUAGAUCAGUUGCUCGAAGCUGGGCAUGCCCCCUACUGCUACAAUUCAGUUCUUCCCGGAUAUGGAAUCUAGCGUCGACGACAACUGUGUUGGAGAUGGUCGUGGUGGUGCCGGCUUAGGCUUUCCUGAGACUCACAGGCUUGGUCUAAAGUUUUGUCAGUCGGAUGGAACGACCGGAUCGACCGGAUCAUCGGGGGUAAAGUCGCUGCUGUGGUGAAGCGAAUGAAUAAUUUCCGGUGUUGACCACGUUCAAGGAGUUCUCAGUAUAGCGAGAUAAGGAGUGACCAGUUUUUCUGCUCUUGAUAAAUAUGAGAAUGGUAGUGCAUUUAGGUAGCUUGGCUAGCCGACAAAUGGGAAGCUUAAUUUCAACGGACGGUCAAUGAUGCAAGCACAAGCUCUUGCUUCAGUUGGCUGGGUCAAGAAUUCAAGAUUGGAAAUUUUUCCAAGCGUAAGUUAUCAAUGUUUUUGGCAAGUAUGAUAUUGUAAGUGGGUUGAUCUUGAAUUAAGUGCACUGAACCUGGCACUAUAAUUUUGUUGGGAGGAUUCACAGCCCUAGUGGAAACCUUCUAAAAAGAGUUUGGCUAGCGACACACUGCUGGGUGUUUUUUAGAGGGUGAGGAUCUCUGAAAAUAUUAUCUAGGUAUGGUUUAUUGUUUAUUGAUUCUCUGAAAUAUCCUAUUUCAUCACUGUUUCAAUUGCAAGUGUAUAUGAAUGUUAGAAGACUUCCUACA